This 679-nucleotide ribosomal RNA is filed under the name uncultured euryarchaeote. Its description in RNAcentral is "bacterial SSU rRNA". It matches the Rfam family "Archaeal small subunit ribosomal RNA", at positions 322 to 998 of the family's 1478-position model. The record is from RNAcentral. Lineage: Archaea; Methanobacteriati; Methanobacteriota.
CCUAUGGGGUGCAGCAGUUAAGGAUUUUUUGCAAUGCACGCAAGUGUGACAAAGCGAGCCAGUAGUGUCUUUCUUUUUUGAAAGACUUUUGCCAGUUGUAAAAAGACUGGCGAAUAAGGACUGGGCAAGACCGGUGCCAGCCGCCGCGGUAAUCCCGGCGGUCCGAGUCGCAGCCACUUUUAUUGGGUCUAAAACAUCCGUAGCUUGCAAAGUCAGUCUUUUGUGAAAUCCCAUGUCUCAAGCAUGGGGCGGGCAAGAGAUACUGCUUUGCUAGAGAUCGGAGGACGUGAGGAGUACGAUCGAGGUAGUGGUUAAAUACGUUAAUCUCGGUCGGACUAACGAUAGCGAAGGCACCUUACGAUUACGAUUCUGACAGUAAGGGAUGAAGGCCAGGGGCGCAAAACGGAUUAGAUACCCGUGUAGUCCUGGCAGUAAACCCUGCACACUAAACAUCGGUGCCUCCUCGAGAGGCGUCGGUGCUGCACCGAAGGGGAAGAGUGUGCUACCUGGGAAGUAUAGUCGCAAGGCCGAAACUUAAAGGAAUUGGCGGGGAGACACCACAACGGGGUGACGCGUGCGGUUCAAUUAGAUUCUACACCGUGAACCUCACCAGGACCGACAGCAGAAUGAAAGUCAGUCUGAAAGGGCUUACUGGACACGCCGAGAGGAAGUGCAUGGC